GACGAACGCUGGCGGCGUGCUUAACACAUGCAAGUCGAACGGACAGGCCCUGCUUUUGUGGGGUGCUCGAGUGGCGAACGGGUGAGUGACACGUGAGUAUCCUGCACUUGACUUUGGGGUAACUUCAGGAAACUGGGGCUCAUACCGGGUAGGAGCUCCUGCUGCAUGGGGGGGGUUGGAGAGUUUCGGCGGUUGGGGAUGGACUCGCGGCUUAUCGGCUUGUUGGUGGGGUAGGUGCUUACGAAGCCUUUGACGGGUAGCCCGCCUGAGAGGGGGACCGGCCACAAGGGGACUGAGAGACGGCGCAGAAGGCUACGGGAGGCAGCGGUGGGGAAUAUUGCACAAUGGGGGGAAGCCUGAUACGGCAACGCCGCGUGCGGGAUGACGGCCUUCGGGGUGUAAACCGCUUUCGCCUGUGACGAAGCGUGAGUGACGGUAACGGGUAAAGAAGCACCGGCUAACUACGUG
This 468-nucleotide ribosomal RNA is filed under the name uncultured bacterium. RNAcentral describes it as "partial 16S ribosomal RNA". It matches the Rfam family "Bacterial small subunit ribosomal RNA", at positions 28 to 507 of the family's 1533-position model. The record is from RNAcentral.